UGCAGGAUAGUGUAAUGGUAACAUGUCAGUCUCAUGAUCUGAAGUUAAGGAGUUCAAAUCCCUUUCUUGCAU
RNAcentral lists this transfer RNA (72 nucleotides) under Cutaneotrichosporon cavernicola. Its description in RNAcentral is "tRNA-Met". It matches the Rfam family "tRNA". From Rfam's summary of the family: Transfer RNA (tRNA) molecules are approximately 80 nucleotides in length. Their secondary structure includes four short double-helical elements and three loops (D, anti-codon, and T loops). The record is from RNAcentral. Lineage: Eukaryota; Fungi; Basidiomycota; Tremellomycetes; Trichosporonales; Trichosporonaceae.